CAAAUCAAGGUACAAUUUUUUUCACUUAUUGUUUCAGCUUUCAUCUUUUGAAUUGUGGGAAGGCUUCUUGUCUGCUUACUUUGCCUAGUUUGUUGGUUUGACUAUCUGUACCUACAUUUGAGAGUUUAAUUUUGAUCAAUGUUGACUGUUCUAAGCUUUAGUGGAACUUUAUAGUUUCAUUUCGGGGAAUCAAAUCCCAUUCUGGGUCUAUUGAGUUGUGUUCAAUAUUACAGGGAUCAAGCAGAGGUAGCGAAUUGGGGAAAAGAGGAGAGACUGCAAGAUUGGAUACCCAAGGCUGAAAGGUUGGUUGGGAUUUGGGUGGAGUUUGCUUAGUCUACAUACCUGUGGGAUUUUGAUUUCUUCUAUCUUUUUGCGAUUUGGCUCAAGAUCACUUGCUAGAUGGUUUGAGCUGCCUCAGCGGGGCUUCGCAGUCACUAGAGGAACUCC
Molecule: long non-coding RNA, 447 nt
Organism: Rosa rugosa (rugosa rose)
Lineage: Eukaryota; Viridiplantae; Streptophyta; Magnoliopsida; Rosales; Rosaceae
Exons: 3
Source: RefSeq, a predicted model, not a curated record